UACAGAGAUGGCAAGCGUUACUCGGAUUUAUUGGGUGUAAAGGGCAGGUAGGCUUCCCGUUAAGUUAGACGUGAAAUCCUAAGGCUUAACCUUAGAACUGCAUCUAAAACUGGCGGGAUUGAGGACAGAAGAGAAAAGCGGAAUUCCCGGUGUAAGGGUGAAAUCUGUAGAGAUCGGGAGGAACACCAGUGGCGAAAGCGGCUUUUUAGUCUGUCCCUGACGCUAAACUGCGAAAGCUCGGGGAG
Molecule: ribosomal RNA, 245 nt
Filed under: uncultured bacterium
Lineage: Bacteria
Description: partial 16S ribosomal RNA
Rfam family: Bacterial small subunit ribosomal RNA
Source: RNAcentral